RNAcentral lists this long non-coding RNA (496 nucleotides) under Phoenix dactylifera (date palm). RNAcentral's name for it is "long non-coding RNA (PDAC_LNC017626)". The record is from RNAcentral. Lineage: Eukaryota; Viridiplantae; Streptophyta; Magnoliopsida; Arecales; Arecaceae.
UUAUGCAUAAGAUUAAUCUUAAUAGCUCUUAAGCAAUUUUAGCAUAUCAACUGAAUUUGAAUCAAGUUAAAAUGAGAUAUUGAUGCUAAAAAUAAUUGAAAGCUAAGUUCUUUUUGACUCCCCCUUUCUUUUCCAGAAGGGCAAUUAUCUUAAAGCCAAUAUUCUUCAAUUUUAACUCUUCUAAUUCAACUUUCGAGUAUGAUUGUAAAUUUUGUAUUUUGCAUUUCAUAUAUUGGUUCUACAAAUGUGUUUUUCUACUCCCCCUUUUUGUCAUCAACAAUGAAGGGGACAAAUUAUCCUUAGGUGCUUAAAGCAUACUUUCUAGUGAAAUUCAGCAUAGUACCAUGAACCACUCAAGGGUAUUCAAGUUAUUGCUCCCCCUGUCCAAGUUAUUUUUAUUAAUGAAUUCAGUCAUUCAUAUCACUCCCCCUUUGUUCUGGAAUUCAUUUCAGACUUCUCUUUUUGUUUAAAAUAGUUACCACAAGAUGUGCUCCCC